RNAcentral lists this non-coding RNA (28 nucleotides) under Rattus norvegicus (Norway rat). The record is from RNAcentral. Lineage: Eukaryota; Metazoa; Chordata; Mammalia; Rodentia; Muridae.
UCCCUGCUGAGUGAACCAUAGUCUCUAA